UAAAAGUCGUAACAAGGUUUCCGUAGGUGAACCUGCGGAAGGAUCAUUAUCGAGUUUGAAAAGGGUUGUAGCUGGUCUUUCACGAGGCAUGUGCACACCCUACUCAUCCACUCAACACCUGUGCACACUAUGUAGGUUUAGACGAGCAUCGGGGCCCUCGUGCCUCGGUAGGAGUCUGCCUAUGUCUUUAUAAACUCUGUUUAGUAUACGAAUGUACUUGCGAUAAAACGCAUCUUAUACAACUUUCAGCAACGGAUCUCUUGGCUCUCGCAUCGAUGAAGAACGCAGCGAAAUGCGAUAAGUAAUGUGAAUUGCAGAAUUCAGUGAAUCAUCGAAUCUUUGAACGCACCUUGCGCCCCUUGGUAUUCCGAGGGGCACACCCGUUUGAGUGUCGUGAAAUUCUCAACUCAACCACCUUUGCUGGUGUUUGGGCUUGGACUUGGGGGUUUGCUGGCUUCGGUCGGCUCCCCUUGAAUGCAUUAGCUCGAACCCUUGCGGAUCAGCUAUCGGUGUGAUAAUUGUUUACGCCGUGGUUGUGAUGCCACCUUCGGGUGUUGGAUCGGCUUCUAACUGUCCCCUAGGGACAAUUUCUUUGAAAUCUGACCUCAAAUCGGGUGGGACUACCCGCUGAACUUAAGCAUAUCAAUAAGCGGAGGA
This 657-nucleotide ribosomal RNA is filed under the name uncultured Ceriporiopsis. Its description in RNAcentral is "eukaryotic LSU rRNA". The stretch from base 241 to 394 matches the Rfam family "5.8S ribosomal RNA". Lineage: Eukaryota; Fungi; Basidiomycota; Agaricomycetes; Polyporales; Polyporaceae. The record is from RNAcentral.